Molecule: ribosomal RNA, 407 nt
Filed under: uncultured bacterium
Lineage: Bacteria
Description: bacterial SSU rRNA
Rfam family: Bacterial small subunit ribosomal RNA
Source: RNAcentral
AGCGAACGUUUGCGGCGGGCCUAACACAUGCAAGUCGAACGAUAACCCGGGCUUCGGUCUGGGGGAAAGUGGCGCACGGGUGCGUAACACGUGGGUAAUCAACCCUUUGGAUCGGGACAACCCGGGGAAACUCGGGCUAAUACCGGAUAAGUCGUGGGAGUCUUCGGGCACCCACGGGAAAGGCCCGCAAGGGCUACCAUUGGACGAGCUCGCGGCCCAUCAGCUUGUUGGUGAGGUAAUGGCUCACCAAGGCUAAGACGGGUAGCUGGUCUGAGAGGAUGAUCAGCCACACUGGAACUGAGACACGGUCCAGACUCCUACGGGAGGCAGCAGUGGGGAAUAUUGCGCAAUGGGCGAAAGCCUGAUCCAGCAAUGCCGCGUGUGUGAAGAAGGCCUCGGUUGUAAGU